UACGUUCUAUUUCUAUCUGCAAUCAUGUGGAUGUUUCAAUCACCUGAAUAAACCCCAGAAAAUAGUCCAAGAGCUGAACCAGAAACAGUUAGGCCUGUGCAUGCUGACUGGACGAGGGGAGGCCAAGAGAGGGACUGUAGUUGGCUGCUCGGUGCCCAGUCAUAUUUUCCUGCAGAGAGCUUUCAUGAUCCAAGACGCCUCUGAGGAGCUGGCUGAGUGUGGGAACAGCAUCACGAUCAUACAGGGGAGUAGACAGUGACGGGAAGGCCUCCACAAACACUUUGUUCUGAAAGAUGGAAAUAAUGAAAAAUGAAGAACAAAUGUGUAUGUAUCAUUUCCAGUCAGUCCCAUGGACCAUGUACUCCUGGAGAUUACAGGAAUAUGCAAUAAAUUGACUCAUUGUCUUUUGUAGUCACUUCGGAGGAAAGAUGGAGAGAUUUAAAGGCCUACCACAUUUUGCGUCGCAGAGAAUCUGCCCCUUGUCUCCUCCACAGCAUUUGUGGGCCACCACUGUUCUCUUGUGUCUUGCCCUUCUCCCGCUAUAUCCUUUGGGAAGGCUGUCCAGGCAUCCUCUGAUUGUUGGAAUGAGCUGUCUGUCCAACCUGAGGUCCAAUGGGUAGACUCGUUGGUGAUGGAAUGGUUUUCAAGUGCAGCAUGGAAGGCAUCAGACAUGAAUCAUUACGACACUAGCUAGAUUCUAUUGAUUCUAUAUGAUCUGUAUGCCUUGCACUGAGUCGACCUCAAAGUGCAGGGACCUGGUGUAUGCUCCAAAUAGGCGGCUAUUUUGCAUGCUGUCCUCAUUCAAAUGGCCUGAAUGGGCAACAAAUAAAAGUUUGGUUUUUUUG
Long non-coding RNA from Oncorhynchus kisutch (coho salmon), 845 nucleotides. RefSeq lists it as uncharacterized. NCBI's taxonomy places the organism in Eukaryota, Metazoa, Chordata, Actinopteri, Salmoniformes, Salmonidae. The transcript has 3 exons. The record is from RefSeq and is a predicted model, not a curated record.